Molecule: ribosomal RNA, 876 nt
Filed under: uncultured organism
Description: bacterial SSU rRNA
Rfam family: Bacterial small subunit ribosomal RNA
Source: RNAcentral
AGAGUUUGAUCCUGGCUCAGAUUGAACGCUGGCGGCAGGCUUAACACAUGCAAGUCGAGCGGAGAUGAGGUGCUUGCACCUUAUCUUAGCGGCGGACGGGUGAGUAAUGCUUAGGAAUCUGCCUAUAGUGGGGGACAACAUUCCGAAAGGAAUGCUAAUACCGCAUACGUCCUACGGGAGAAAGCAGGGGAUCUUCGGACCUUGCGCUAAUAGAUGAGCCUAAGUCGGAUUAGCUAGUUGGUGGGGUAAAGGCCUACCAAGGCGACGAUCUGUAGCGGGUCUGAGAGGAUGAUCCGCCACACUGGGACUGAGACACGGCCCAGACUCCUACGGGAGGCAGCAGUGGGGAAUAUUGGACAAUGGGGGGAACCCUGAUCCAGCCAUGCCGCGUGUGUGAAGAAGGCCUUAUGGUUGUAAAGCACUUUAAGCGAGGAGGAGGCUACUGAGACUAAUACUCUUGGAUAGUGGACGUUACUCGCAGAAUAAGCACCGGCUAACUCUGUGCCAGCAGCCGCGGUAAUACAGAGGGUGCGAGCGUUAAUCGGAUUUACUGGGCGUAAAGCGUGCGUAGGCGGCUUUUUAAGUCGGAUGUGAAAUCCCCGAGCUUAACUUGGGAAUUGCAUUCGAUACUGGGAAGCUAGAGUAUGGGAGAGGAUGGUAGAAUUCCAGGUGUAGCGGUGAAAUGCGUAGAGAUCUGGAGGAAUACCGAUGGCGAAGGCAGCCAUCUGGCCUAAUACUGACGCUGAGGUACGAAAGCAUGGGGAGCAAACAGGAUUAGAUACCCUGGUAGUCCAUGCCGUAAACGAUGUCUACUAGCCGUUGGGGCCUUUGAGGCUUUAGUGGCGCAGCUAACGCGAUAAGUAGACCGCCUGGGGA